AUUGAACGCUGGCGGCAGGCCUAACACAUGCAAGUCGAACGGUAACAGAACUAGCUUGCUAGUUGCUGACGAGUGGCGGACGGGUGAGUAAUGCUUGGGAAUUUGCCUUUGGGAGGGGGAUAACCACUGGAAACGGUGGCUAAUACCGCAUAACGUCUACGGACCAAAGGGGGCUUAGGCUCCCACCUAUAGAGAAGCCCAAGUGAGAUUAGCUAGUUGGUGAGGUAAAGGCUCACCAAGGCGACGAUCUCUAGCUGUUCUGAGAGGAAGAUCAGCCACACUGGAACUGAGACACGGUCCAGACUCCUACGGGAGGCAGCAGUGGGGAAUAUUGCACAAUGGGGGAAACCCUGAUGCAGCCAUGCCGCGUGUGUGAAGAAGGCCUUCGGGUUGUAAAGCACUUUCAGUUUGUGAGGAAAAGGUUAGUAGUUAAUACCUGCUAGCUGUGACGUUAGCAACAGAAGAAGCACCGGCUAACUCCGUGCCAG
RNAcentral lists this ribosomal RNA (488 nucleotides) under uncultured bacterium. Its description in RNAcentral is "bacterial SSU rRNA". It matches the Rfam family "Bacterial small subunit ribosomal RNA", at positions 30 to 511 of the family's 1533-position model. The record is from RNAcentral.